GGCUUUAUAGUCAAUAAUGACAUUAGACUGCAAUUCUAAAGGAGUAAAUAUUUACUAAGGCUUAAAAGAUUUUUCUUAUAUUU
RNAcentral lists this transfer RNA (83 nucleotides) under Sarcophaga dux. RNAcentral describes it as "tRNA-Cys". Lineage: Eukaryota; Metazoa; Arthropoda; Insecta; Diptera; Sarcophagidae. The record is from RNAcentral.